Molecule: transfer RNA, 72 nt
Filed under: Heterocephalus glaber (naked mole-rat)
Lineage: Eukaryota; Metazoa; Chordata; Mammalia; Rodentia; Bathyergidae
Rfam family: tRNA
About the family: Transfer RNA (tRNA) molecules are approximately 80 nucleotides in length. Their secondary structure includes four short double-helical elements and three loops (D, anti-codon, and T loops).
Source: Rfam by way of RNAcentral
UGGAGCAUAGCUCAGUAGUAGAGAACUUGCCUAACAUGCAUGAGGCCCUGGGUUCACUUUCCAGCACUUCAA